AUUGAACGCUGGCGGCAUGCUUUACACAUGCAAGUCGAACGGCAGCGCGGGCUUCGGCCUGGCGGCGAGUGGCGAACGGGUGAGUAAUGCAUCGGAACGUGCCCAGUAGUGGGGGAUAGCCCGGCGAAAGCCGGAUUAAUACCGCAUACGACCUGAGGGUGAAAGCGGGGGACCGAAAGGCCUCGCGCUAUUGGAGCGGCCGAUGUCGGAUUAGCUAGUUGGUGGGGUAAAGGCUUACAAAGGCGACGAUCCGUAGCUGGUCUGAGAGGACGACCAGCCACACUGGGAGUGAGACACGGCCCAGACUGCUACGGGAGGCAGCAGUGGGGAAUUUUGGACAAUGGGGGCAACCCUGAUCCAGCCAUGCCGCGUGCGGGAAGAAGGCCUUCGGGUUGUAAACCGCUUUUGUUCGGGAAGAAAUCCUCUGGGCUAAUACCCCGGGGGGAUGACGGUACCGGAAGAAUACGCACCGGCUAACUACG
RNAcentral lists this ribosomal RNA (482 nucleotides) under uncultured bacterium. RNAcentral describes it as "partial 16S ribosomal RNA". It matches the Rfam family "Bacterial small subunit ribosomal RNA", at positions 29 to 505 of the family's 1533-position model. The record is from RNAcentral.